UCACCCCUCGGGCCCUGUGCUCGAUGUUGGACGGCCGGUUCGGGCGACCGAACCCCUCCUAAAGACAAUGACGGCGGCCUGUGGUUCCCCCGGUACACUGAGCCUUUGGCACGUGCCGGACGAGGGCGCCCAGGACCCGGUCCUCUCCUCUCAGUAGGAAACUUCUUA
RNAcentral lists this unclassified non-coding RNA (168 nucleotides) under uncultured Cladophialophora. RNAcentral describes it as "sequence contains ITS2". Lineage: Eukaryota; Fungi; Ascomycota; Eurotiomycetes; Chaetothyriales; Herpotrichiellaceae. The record is from RNAcentral.